This is a long non-coding RNA of Stylophora pistillata, 112 nucleotides long. The record is from RefSeq and is a predicted model, not a curated record. Lineage: Eukaryota; Metazoa; Cnidaria; Anthozoa; Scleractinia; Pocilloporidae.
GUUGGCUAUCAUGGCCCAAGAUGGAGGACCACGUGAGCAUGUGAUUAACAUGGACUGGCUGGAACAAGAAAUAGUUAUGGAAGAGAAGCUGGAAAGAGGAAGAGAAGAACAA